Molecule: non-coding RNA, 637 nt
Organism: Microcebus murinus (gray mouse lemur)
Lineage: Eukaryota; Metazoa; Chordata; Mammalia; Primates; Cheirogaleidae
Source: RefSeq, a predicted model, not a curated record
GUCUGAGUCAUCAUGAAGACCAGCUCUAGAGGACUCAGCACCCGUCUGAUGGAGGGGCUCGCGCAGACAUGAGUGGUCACAAGGCAUUGGAUGCUGGGAGGCUCAGAGAUGAGGUCUAUGAAAAGGUCUUCCGGAGAAAGCCAGCAGCUCCAGAGCAGGUGCUGGAUUGUCCCGCACAGACUUGAGAAGACCAGAGCAGCCCUCACUUCCCAUGGGAUUCCUGGACACCUGAGAAACACACAGGAAAAGCCAAGGGAAGCUGAGCCCAGCGAAGCCAGACGACAGUGUGAAGGGGAAGGAGGGACUCUUCAUCUCUGAGGACUGGUUAGGACGGCCCCACUGCCUCAGCUCAGAAGGUGUCUCUGCCAGACAGCAUGCCCCAGUAAGGCUGCUGGGAGAGACAGGGGAAAGGGUGCACCAGACACAGCCCUGCCCUUAAAGAGCUCACCUGCUAGGGGAGGGUAGGAACAGGAGACAUCAGAAAAACGCAGUGUGGUAAGUGCAAUGAGAGAGCGUACACCAACCCUACCUGGGAAGUGUCAAGAAAAGGAAAAUCCAAAAGAGAAUUUUAACAGUGGCCCACGAUGGCUACAGUCAGGCACAUGGGUAAUAAUAAAACUGAGGCCUAUAAACUGAA